Molecule: ribosomal RNA, 676 nt
Filed under: uncultured bacterium
Lineage: Bacteria
Description: bacterial SSU rRNA
Rfam family: Bacterial small subunit ribosomal RNA
Source: RNAcentral
GCAGCAGUGGGGAAUAUUGCACAAUGGGCGCAAGCCUGAUGCAGCAACGCCGCGUGAGGGACGACGGCCUUCGGGUUGUAAACCUCUUUUAGCAGGGAAGAAGCGAAAGUGACGGUACCUGCAGAAAAAGCACCGGCUAACUACGUGCCAGCAGCCGCGGUAAUACGUAGGGUGCAAGCGUUGUCCGGAAUUAUUGGGCGUAAAGAGCUCGUAGGCGGUUUGUCACGUCUGCUGUGAAAUCCCGAGGCUCAACCUCGGGCUUGCAGUGGGUACGGGCAGACUAGAGUGCGGUAGGGGAGAUUGGAAUUCCUGGUGUAGCGGUGGAAUGCGCAGAUAUCAGGAGGAACACCGAUGGCGAAGGCAGAUCUCUGGGCCGUAACUGACGCUGAGGAGCGAAAGCAUGGGGAGCAAACAGGCUUAGAUACCCUGGUAGUCCAUGCCGUAAACGUUGGGAACUAGAUGUGGGGACCAUUCCACGGUGUCCGUGUCGUAGCUAACGCAUUAAGUUCCCCGCCUGGGGAGUACGGCCGCAAGGCUAAAACUCAAAGGAAUUGACGGGGGCCCGCACAAGCGGCGGAGCAUGCGGAUUAAUUCGAUGCAACGCGAAGAACCUUACCAAGGCUUGACAUAUACGAGAACGCACUGGAGACAGUGAACUCUUUGGACACUCGUAUAC